UACAGAGGGGGCAAGCGUUGUUCGGAAUUACUGGGCGUAAAGGGUUCGUAGGUGGCUUGCUAAGUCAGACGUGAAAUCCCUCAGCUUAACUGGGGAACUGCGUCUGAUACUGGAUGGCUUGAGUUUGGGAGAGGGAUGCGGAAUUCCAGGUGUAGCGGUGAAAUGCGUAGAUAUCUGGAGGAACACCGGUGGCGAAGGCGGCAUCCUGGACCAACACUGACGCUGAGUGAGCGAAAGCCAGGGGGGCAAACGGG
RNAcentral lists this ribosomal RNA (254 nucleotides) under uncultured bacterium. Its description in RNAcentral is "partial 16S ribosomal RNA". It matches the Rfam family "Bacterial small subunit ribosomal RNA", at positions 524 to 776 of the family's 1533-position model. The record is from RNAcentral.